GCCAGUGUGGUGUAGUGGUUUGAGCGCUGAAAUAUGACUCUAGAGAUCAGGGUUCGAGUCCUAGCUCAGCCA
This is a non-coding RNA of Phrynosoma platyrhinos (Desert horned lizard), 72 nucleotides long. NCBI's taxonomy places the organism in Eukaryota, Metazoa, Chordata, Lepidosauria, Squamata, Phrynosomatidae. The record is from the annotation of a GenBank genome assembly.